CGUCUUGGUUUCCAGUGUAAGCACAACAAGUGAAUCACAAUAUCCAGAGGAGAGUCCAGCCCUGGUGAAGUGGAGUGCUCAUAUUCUAUUACACCCUCUCGUUACCCAGACAGGAUUUCCAAAGGCCCUGUCCAUUAAUGCAUCACGAACGAAGCAUCUUCAUCUUCAGGGGCAGGUCAGCUAAGUGAGACGGCUGGGUCCAUAACUGGCUGCUCCGUCUGUCCUUACUGAGAUGAGAUAAAACAGAACGGAAGAGAAUAAAAGAAGAAAAGGGUAACUUCAUGAGACGAAGAAGAGAAGAGGCGUGUUAACAGACUACUCAGUUGAGGCGUGGGCAGCAGGCCAUCUCAACGUUAAGGCAGCGGGCAGUCAGGGAAGCUUGAAAUAGAAGCUCGGGGGAUUUCUUCUAUCCAACAGAGAAGCCGCAGCAGAAGCUGGGAGGCGGAGGCAGCACCUUUAGUCACUCAUUUAAAGGUGAAUCUCUAUGGGAACUGUGGAAACGCCUCAAAAACAUCCAUAACAAAAGUUUGCAAUCAAGUGACGGAAAAAGUCAACCCUGUAAUUCAUUAAUUGCCCUGUUGCCACAGUCAACAUGAAUGCUAUUUUUCCUUGACAAAGAGAGUGGUUCGGCCUUCCUCUUGUCGACACACUGUUGUAACACUUAGAAGACUAAAUGAGUGCCGUGGUCCUUCUCAGAUAUACAGAGAACAUUCCUCUCGAAGAUAGACAUAAACCCAGCAGCAGGUACUAUCUCCAUCCGUUAAGUCAUUCAGUCUGAAGCCUUCAUGCAUUUUGCUGGGCACAAAUAUGGUCAAUAUGUCACUGACGUUGGUCGACUCGCCACACAUUUUCCAUACAGAUAAGACCUUUUAAGCACACACACACACACACACACACACACACACACACACACACACACACACACACACACACACACACACACACACACACACACACACACACACACACACACACACACACACACACACACACAAAGGCACACACAAAUAAUGGCCUGUGUGUGGUUGCACUGUUGUGAUAAGCAGUGCACUGGCCCUACAUGUAAAUGCAUGUGAAUCCACAUGGAGAUAAGAAGCGGUACAUUACGUCUCUGGUCCUGGCUGUGUUUCUCUGUGAUACGGCACCUCAGAUUCUAUCAGGGAGACUUUGGCAGCCCGCGAACAGUGGUGGUAACACAGCCCCAACAGGAUUUAACAGAUAGCCAUAGGCACCGGUCACCAGUGGCAGGUUGGGCUGAAAACAGUCCAACGCUAUUCUGUAUUUAACAGAUUCUAGCUAGAUGUAAAGUAGAUUUAAAAUGUAGCUUGUGUUGUGGUGUGACAGCACUGACAGGAGUAGGAGUGAGUCUGAGACAGACAGACAGACAGACAGGUAGGUGGGUAGGUAGGUGGGGGAAAUAGAGAGACUGAAACCAGCCUUAGUGGAGUCAGAUGAGUGUUCAGCCAUCCACAGUCAGCCUACUGCAUUCUCACAAACACCAGCCGACCUUUUAGGGAUGCUAACUAAUAUCAAAGCUGGGAUGAUCAUUAUCAUGAUUCUGGUGAUAAUGAGAACAUGCCUCUGCUUUGUUUGGGUUAAGGCUCGGGUUGCUACGCAGCACUUUGUGACAAACAUAUUUGUAUUAAGUCAGUACAAUUUGAUUGGAUACGGUUUUAAAAGCACUCCCCCGCGCACGCGUAUUGUUACAGUAGAUGAUUCUAACUGACACAUAACAUCUAAAAUGCAUUAUGAAACAUGGAAAUACAUCCAUACUGACUGCAUUAUGAAAUACACCCAUAUUGUACAGCUCCAACAGUUUGCUAGAAAGUAUUUUCUUUGAAUUCCUCUAUUCUGAAUAGAACCAGCAAUAGCCCGCCAGUCUGCCAGCCAGAGUCAGUGUCUUGGCUCCCAUCCACUGUAGCAGAACAUAACAUUUAGAAUGGAGUGGCUGGCUGCCUGAGAUGACUCAUCCUCCAUUGAUGAGCAGCACAGCCAUCCAUUCCACCUCAGGGAACCAGGCCCAGGCAGCACAGAGCUCUCCUCUCCCAAACAUGGUUCUCCUGACUGGAUUGGGCCUCCUUUCCCCUUCUCAUCAGCUACGCAGACCCCAGCAGCCCAGAGCUUCUUUCCCCCUCACACGGCCCUCCCGCCUGGGCUGGGCUUCCUCUCCUCUCCCCCUCUCCCCCGACAUGCAGCCUCCAGCAGUUCUAAAGCUUAAAUUAGAGGCUUGGCGCUGGGCCAGGUGAGCAGGCUCUCUCAGUAGACUGCUACAUAACAGGCAGGCUGCCAUUCAUUCUGCUAGAAGACUGGGACUGAGUGAGUCACAUUCAUAGUAGAGAGGGGUUGAGGCCUAGUACACUGGCUAUGCCUGUUGGUUUUUACGAAUGAGAGUGUCCUGAAAUGCAUUUAGUUGGUUCAUGAACAUGACUUAACAACGUGUAGCAUUGCGCAUCCCCGUAGCAAUAGCGUUCUUGCAUAAUCAUAUGCAAUAGGUUCAAUAUGCCUAAUACAAUGUGUACACGGUAAACAUCGAGUCACCAGAGUCACGAUGAACCGAGUCACCAGAACUCUGUCACAUAGAAAGGGCAAAAUAAUGAAAUCUCUAGUUUGAAUGUGUGUAGUGUGACCAUCCUAAUAGUCUGUCUGCUACUAGCGCAAGCAUUUGCACCAGAUCCAAUCGAAGUGUGGGGAGAGCCAAGAGACCUGUAUACAAUGCACACUAAGAAAGAGGGUUCCUCAAGGGUUCUUUGGUAAGGGUGAUGGUUCUAUGUGGAACCAUAAUGACUCAAAUAACCGUUGCAGGCCGUUAAUGGUUCUUUGCAGGUCAGAAAAUGAUUAUUUCCUCUCUUAGUGAUAAUUCAAAUUAAGGGUCGGCGGCUCAUUUGAAUAUUUGGGGGGCGGGGUUUGCGCACAACUCUUUUUGCGCAACCGUGAGUGAGAGUGUCAUUCCAGUUUAUCUAAUGUGUUGUGUUAUGCCAUUUCAUUAUAUAUGACUAUGGCCAGUGAUGGUGUCUUGUAGAAGACUCAAGUAUGGCCUUGUGUCAAUUGAGAAUGGUUAUCCAAGUCAUUGAUUUGCAAUUCUUUCCUCAGGGACUCACAGACACUCCUGAGCUAGCACACCUGAUUCAACGUGUCAAUUAUUAACACAAUAAUAACACAUAUGGCAUUUUUAACUAUAUCAUAGGGUUAUCUGGAAUGAAAAACCGUGGAUGGUUCUUCAAAAUGUUAUUUGUAGAACCCUUGAGAUUGAGAGAGGUUCUUAAUAGAACCAAUUCUCUAGAAAAGGUUCUAUAUAGCACCAAAAGACGUUGUAACCAUAGCGGAACCCUUUUUAGUGCUAAAAUAAAAACAAUAUAUGGGUCUUUUUGUAGUACCAUAAAGGUUCCAUUUAGACUCUUAUAAGCACGGUUCUUCAUUGAACCUUCAAAAAGGGUUCUAUAUAUCACCAAAAAUAGCCUUUAUUUGGCACUAUAUAGAAAACAAUGUUUACCUGUGUGUACAGGUAUUAUACAGCAUGGGGCAAAACAAUAUGAAAAUACAAAGCUAUAACAUUGAUAUCAACUGCUGUCGUUGAUAUUUGACAUUUCCUUUCAUUUUAUAGCCUUUUAUCUUGCGUUUGUUCCUCCACAUAGUGAUUAUAUCACCUCGUCUGUGAGAUUGGUUCUGAGAGUGGCUCACUCAUUCCUCUCUCUGUUAUUACAUCAGCAGUCAGAGGGUCAUCUCAGCACCAUAUUGCACAAACUGAGUAUUCUAGAAACCAUCUGCUGGGUUUCUCACUGUAGACCUUGCACUGCCGCUAGCUCUCAGAAUCCACUUCACAAAGCAAUACCACAGAACGAAUGUCCUUCACACUACAGCACCAAUGUGUUUUACUGUACACAGCAGAUAUCUCUCGCACAAGAAAAAAACAAAAACAUCUCACCUACUGUAUAGCAAACGCUAAUGGUAUAUCCCAUUACCAGAUACAUUUAGCUAAAUCUUUAAAGACAUGUACUAAAUGUUCCCAGUGUCUUUGGGAUGAGUAUGUCUUUGGGAUGAGUAUGUCUUUGGGAUGAGUAGAUCUUUGGGAUGAGUAGAUCUUUGGGAUGAGUAUGUCUUUGGGAUGAGUAUGUCUUUGGGAUGAGUAUGUCUUUGGGAUGAGUAGGUCUUCGGCAUGAGUAUGUCUUUGGGAUGAGUAGGUCUUUGGGAUGAUGAGAUGUUCAGCCAAGUUCCAGACGUGGUUGUGGUUAUUCGACCCAAUGGGAUACUACAGUUCAGGUGUUACCCAGGCUAUUGUCAGUGUUUAGAAUAGUACUGUCUCUAUAUACAGUGUUCCCUCAGUAGUCCAGUUGCCAGGUGAGGUGAGUAGUGACUGUGGAAUGUGCACUGGGCAUGUCUGUUUAGUCUGCUCCUGAACACUGUGAAGGAGCUGCUAUGUUCUUUUCUUGGCUGGCAUGGCAUUGACACUACUCUAGGACUAGGUGUGUGUGUGUGUUUGUGUAUGUGUGUGUGUCUGCCCGUGUGGUUGUGCGCCUACGUUCGAAGCCUGCGUUUGUGUGCAUGUUGACGUAUGUGUGACCGGGCCCAUUAGAAAAGAACAGAAGACAAGGUUAGAAGGAUUACAUCCUCCGGGUGAUUUAUGCAGUUGUCUUUGAAAGGGAUUGUAUCUCCAGAGAAGUUGAAACGGUGAUAAGAGCUCAGUCUUUUGAUGUAUGCGUUUUGCAUAAAUGACGAUGAAUCCAUUGACAGAAAUGAACACGGUCUGUGUGGUUUCAUGGUGGUACCAUUCGGCCUAAAACGCACACCAUCCAUUUCAAAAGAGUGAAGCAGAAUGGAGAGGUGAGACCAGAAGCGUGACCUUACCUGACUGCACAGUAGAUGACAGUUUUGUUUAUGUUGACAAAAUGUAAGCUGAGUGGCAGAUAGUGAACUGUCACUAAACAGAGCUGCUAGCUAGGGGUCAUUGUUACUGAUUGCUGACACAGUACAUAAGUGACACACACACACACACACACUGACAUGAUUGUGGACUAUGCACACGGAGCUCAGUCACCACGUCACAGGACAACAACUUCAGCUGUCCCCCAACCACACAUGAUGCUGUUCAAGUCAGCAGGAAUGGUUGGUUGAGCAGGCUGGGUUGAGUCCAUGAGAAUUAACAUACAAUACAGGGUAUUCUCAGCCUUGUCUCAUCUCUGCAUGUCUUCACAAUUGUCUGAGAAGUGCUCUGGGGGUGCCCUACUUACAGGACAAAACAUGAAAGAUGGGAUCCCUGAGUUCUUAUCACAAAGCAGGGAUCUUACAAACAUCUGAUGUAUAGAAAACGUGCAUUCAGCAGGCUUUCAGUAGUCAAGUCAUUCUUGUAGUAAAGCAGAGAUCAGAAAGACCUCUAAACCUACAGUAGAAUGUAUCAUACACACUCCGUUAGCUGUUUCUCUCUGAUCUUCUACAGCAAGACUCUCCUAACCUCAAAUCAGUUACAGGCAUUAUCUACCAGAUACAGUCACAGUUUAUCUGAUUUGGAGUCAGUAACAGGCCGUGUCCUAACACACACACACACACACACACACACACACACACACACACACACACACACACACACACACACACACACACACACACACACACACGUGCCCUUAGACAGGAUAUGGCAGUUUUCUCCACUCUAGUCACAACAUCCAUAUCUAUUUCUCUAAACCAUGAUCUCCUACUCAUGGAAAACAGAGACACACAGACAUAUUUUUGUAAUGGUUUCCGUUCAUGUUGGCUUGCCUGUGGUAGCCAACGUUCCAGUCAUGUGAGCUGUGAUGGAAUGCUGGGACCUCAUGACCUGUACUGUACACCUCAGGCAUGUUCUGUACAACAUGUUGCCUUCUGUUAGCUGGUUAUAAUAGCAAUGCAUCAUUACUGUCGCCAGUAAUACAGUAACUCAAGCAUGCUGACUGCAGGGUGUGCAAAGCUGGGCCACCUGAUGCAGAGCACAAGCAGGUCAGAUGAGGAGCUGGGAGAGAGAGAGGGGAUCUGGUCAUGCCGCCCGCUGAAGCAGAUUGUAACCGAGGUCUCUGAGUCCUUGCCAACAAACUAUCAAGCAUUAUUUUGUGUUUAACAACACACAUUCUGACCAGUGGACUGAGGGUCAAGAAAACACCCUCCCCAGCAUGAAUAUCACCACUGCUGCUGUGGUGGGUGGUGCAGGAGGGGGAGGGGCUGCUGCUGACCCCAGAACUGUGGGAGUUUAAGGCAGUUGGAAAGAAGGCAAUGUACACAACAUGUGUGAAGGUGUCGAAUGAAUGUUCUCUGGCGAAGGUGAAGUCAAUGGGGUGGGCCGAGUUGUUUGGUCCAAAAAGGCUGCUGGCUGUCACUGUACAAGCUACCAAUCGAAAAACGCACAGCUGACCUCCAAUGCAGGAUCAUACAUGGGGCGAUAGCCCCUGGUGCGUCUAGAUCUAAGCGUUGGGGAGGGUUGUCCGUUGUGUACGUUAGCUCAUCUCUUCGUACAGUGUCCAGGACUGGUAAGAAUGUUUACUCUGCUAACCAGCUGGUUCUUGGUGGAGGGGUUCUCUUCCAGGCUGUUCAUUCUAGGACUGAAAUACAGUUUCAGGCACAGGAGCGGUAGUCCUGCUGAACCUGUCAGGAGAAGCCAGGUUGACAAUCUGGAAGACCAGGUAGAACUGUAAUCUGUACAGGAGUCUACAGGGGUCUGUAGGAGUCUGGGGUCUACAGGGGUCUACAGGAGUCUGUAGGGGCUACAUUAAUACCAUUACUUUUUGCAGUAACAAGUAACAUAACGAAGUUACUGUUCCAUUUUGAGUAAUAAUAUUAGUUACUGAUCAAAGAAGUCAGUUGUUACUUUUGUUAUCAUUCCCUUCCUAUUGUAGUUAUUGAUCCAUAUAUUGUGAUUAUUGUUCCCUCUCUGUUGACGCAAUAUAAAAUAAUCCCCCUGCCCCAGAUUCAAGUUGUUUUCGUCCUCUCACCAAGUUCCUGUUAACACACACACUACUACUAACAGCUUUAGUUGGGGAGGUGAAACAUGGCAGAAGCGUCUAAAACAUGAACUUUCUCAGCGUGGAAGUACUCCCAUUACUUUGACUUGUAGGACAAAAUGACAAGGAUAUAACUGCAAAACAGUGACUGUGACCAGGCAAGAAACACCUCCCCUCUGCUAUCAACACGACUUCCAAUCCCUUGAAGCACCUGCAAAGGCAACACGCAAACUUCUGUUUUUCUUAGACUCGUACACAUCAGCACGGUUGUACAUGACGGUUGAAUGUUGAUGUACUGUACGGUCUUGACCCAAUAAAGUGUUUUUCUCUCUC
This is a long non-coding RNA of Oncorhynchus kisutch (coho salmon), 7295 nucleotides long. RefSeq lists it as uncharacterized. The transcript is spliced from 2 exons. NCBI's taxonomy places the organism in Eukaryota, Metazoa, Chordata, Actinopteri, Salmoniformes, Salmonidae. The record is from RefSeq and is a predicted model, not a curated record.